CUUUAUUGGAGAGUUUGAUCCUGGCUCAGGAUGAACGCUGGCGGCGUGCCUAAUACAUGCAAGUCGAGCGAAUGACGAGGAGCUUGCUCCUCUGAUUUAGCGGCGGACGGGUGAGUAACACGUGGGUAACCUGCCUGUAAGACGGGGAUAACUCCGGGAAACCGGAGCUAAUACCGGAUGAUAACGAGAAGCGCCUGCUUCUUUUUUGAAAGUCGGUUUCGGCUGACGCUUACAGAUG
This 238-nucleotide ribosomal RNA is filed under the name Fictibacillus enclensis. RNAcentral describes it as "partial 16S ribosomal RNA". It matches the Rfam family "Bacterial small subunit ribosomal RNA", at positions 1 to 227 of the family's 1533-position model. The record is from RNAcentral. Lineage: Bacteria; Bacillati; Bacillota; Bacilli; Caryophanales; Fictibacillaceae.